Long non-coding RNA from Panicum virgatum (switchgrass), 148 nucleotides. RefSeq lists it as uncharacterized. The record is from RefSeq and is a predicted model, not a curated record. Lineage: Eukaryota; Viridiplantae; Streptophyta; Magnoliopsida; Poales; Poaceae. The transcript is spliced from 3 exons.
CCCGGCUGGGAGACCUGGCUCAUCGACGCCGCUGCCUCCUUCCAGGACAGCAAAUUGAUAGUUUUGGGACUCUUGUAGCAAGUGUAGUUUGCCAUCUCUUCGCUUGAUCAGCCUGACGGUGGAGCUGUGGAGGAGGCGCAGGCGUGCU